AUGAGUGAUGACAUAAACAUUCUUCACUUUGACCUGAUUGUCCAGUGAUGAUAAGCUUCAGUCUGACA
Small nucleolar RNA from Hucho hucho (huchen), 68 nucleotides. NCBI's taxonomy places the organism in Eukaryota, Metazoa, Chordata, Actinopteri, Salmoniformes, Salmonidae. The record is from Ensembl.